Molecule: ribosomal RNA, 496 nt
Filed under: uncultured bacterium
Lineage: Bacteria
Description: bacterial SSU rRNA
Rfam family: Bacterial small subunit ribosomal RNA
Source: RNAcentral
AGUGAACGCUGGCGGCAGGCCUAAUACAUGCAAGUCGAACGGCAGCACAGCAGAGCUUGCUCUGUGGGUGGCGAGUGGCGGACGGGUGAGGAAUACAUGGGAAUCUGCCCAGUCGUGGGGGAUAACGUAUGGAAACGUACGCUAAUACCGCAUGCGCCCUACGGGGGAAAGCCGGGGACCGAAAGGCCUGGCGCGAUUGGAUGAGCCCAUGUUCGAUUAGCUAGUUGGCGGGGUAAAGGCCCACCAAGGCGACGAUCGAUAGCUGGUCUGAGAGGAUGAUCAGCCACACUGGAACUGAGACACGGUCCAGACUCCUACGGGAGGCAGCAGUAGGGAAUAUUGGACAAUGGGGGCAACCCUGAUCCAGCCAUGCCGCGUGAGUGAAGAAGGCCCUCGGGGUUGUAAAGCUCUUUUGUCCGGAAAGAAAAGCAUUCGGUUAAUACCCGGGUGUUCUGACGGUACCGGAAGAAUAAGCACCGGCUAACUUCGUGCCAGC